AAACCAACUGGGAUUACCUUAGUAACGGCGAGUGAAGCGGUAAAAGCUCAAAUUUGAAAUCUGGUACUUUCAGUGCCCGAGUUGUAAUUUGUAGAAUUUGUCUUUGAUUAGGUCCUUGUCUAUGUUCCUUGGAACAGGACGUCAUAGAGGGUGAGAAUCCCGUUUGGCGAGGAUACCUUUUCUCUGUAAGACUUUUUCGAAGAGUCGAGUUGUUUGGGAAUGCAGCUCAAAGCGGGUGGUAAAUUCCAUCUAAAGCUAAAUAUUGGCGAGAGACCGAUAGCGAACAAGUACAGUGAUGGAAAGAUGAAAAGAACUUUGAAAAGAGAGUGAAAAAGUACGUGAAAUUGUUGAAAGGGAAGGGCAUUUGAUCAGACAUGGUGUUUUUUAAAUGUGCAAGUCUCUCGUGGACAUGUGCCUCUGGAAAUUAACACUGGGCCAACAUCAGUUCUGGCGGCAGGAUAAAUCAUUAAGAAUGUAGCUACUUCGGUAGUGUUAUAGCUUUUUGGAAUACUGCCAGCUGGGUA
This 524-nucleotide ribosomal RNA is filed under the name uncultured Hanseniaspora. Its description in RNAcentral is "eukaryotic LSU rRNA". It matches the Rfam family "Eukaryotic large subunit ribosomal RNA", at positions 62 to 585 of the family's 3401-position model. Lineage: Eukaryota; Fungi; Ascomycota; Saccharomycetes; Saccharomycodales; Saccharomycodaceae. The record is from RNAcentral.